GAUGAACGCUGGCGGCGUGCCUAAUACAUGCAAGUCGAGCGAACAGACGAGGUGCUUGCUGGUCUGACUUUAUCAGCGGAGGAGUGAGGAACAACAGGUUAACCUACCUAUAAGUCUGGGAUAACUUCGGGAAACCGGUGCUACUACCGGAUAAUAUUUUGAGUCUCAUGGUUGAUUAGUGUAAGACGGUUUUUCUUUCGCUUAUGGAUGGGCCCGCGCCGCAUUAGCUAGUUGGUAGGGUAACGGCUUACCAAGGCAGCGAUGGGUAGCCGGCGUGAGAGGGUGAUCGGCCACCCUGGAACGAAGGCAACGUCGAGACUCCUACGAGGGGAAGCAGUAGGGAAGCAUCCGGAAUGGGCGAAGGACUGCUGGAGCAGCGCCGCGGGAGUGAUGAUGGUCUUCUGCGCGUUGAACUCUGUUAUUAGGGAAGAACAAAUGUGUAAGUGACUAUGCACGGCUUGACGGUACCUAAUCAGAAAGCCACGGCUAACUACGUG
This 497-nucleotide ribosomal RNA is filed under the name uncultured bacterium. Its description in RNAcentral is "partial 16S ribosomal RNA". It matches the Rfam family "Bacterial small subunit ribosomal RNA", at positions 28 to 507 of the family's 1533-position model. The record is from RNAcentral.